Molecule: ribosomal RNA, 743 nt
Filed under: uncultured bacterium
Lineage: Bacteria
Description: bacterial SSU rRNA
Rfam family: Bacterial small subunit ribosomal RNA
Source: RNAcentral
UCGACGGACAGGUAAUGAAACCUAGUGAUUUAUCUGUUAGUGGCGGACGGGUGAGUAACGCGUGGGUAACCUGCCGUAUACAGGGGGAUAACACUUAGAAAUAGGUGCUAAAACCGCAUAAGCGCACAGGAUCGCAUGGUCCGGUGUGAAAAACUCCGGUGGUAUACGAUGGACCCGCGUCUGAUUAGCUUGUUGGCGGGGUAGAGGCCCACCAAGGCGACGAUCAGUAGCCGGCCUGAGAGGGUGAACGGCCACAUUGGGACUGAGACACGGCCCAAACUCCUACGGGAGGCAGCAGUGGGGAAUAUUGCACAAUGGGGGAAACCCUGAUGCAGCGACGCCGCGUGAGUGAAGAAGUAUUUCGGUAUGUAAAGCUCUAUCAGCAGGAAAGAAAAUGACGGUACCUGACUAAGAAGCCCCGGCUAACUACGUGCCAGCAGCCGCGGUAAUACGUAGGGGGCAAGCGUUAUCCGGAUUUACUGGGUGUAAAGGGAGCGUAGACGGUGAAGCAAGUCUGAAGUGAAAGGCGGGGGCUCAACCCCCGGACUGCUUUGGAAACUGUUUGACUGGAGUGCAGGAGAGGUAAGUGGAAUUCCUAGUGUAGCGGUGAAAUGCGUAGAUAUUAGGAGGAACACCAGUGGCGAAGGCGGCUUACUGGACUGUAACUGACGUUGAGGCUCGAAAGCGUGGGGAGCAAACAGGAUUAGAUACCCUGGUAGUCCACGCGGUAAACGAUGAUCACU